RNAcentral lists this long non-coding RNA (793 nucleotides) under Anser brachyrhynchus (Pink-footed goose). RNAcentral's name for it is "lncRNA (ENSABRG00000004200.1)". The record is from RNAcentral. Lineage: Eukaryota; Metazoa; Chordata; Aves; Anseriformes; Anatidae.
UAGCAAUAUCCCUAUGAAACAGAAAGAGUGAAAGUUAUCUGCAUUAGUAUUUUAAGUUUGCACUGUUAGAGCACUUCUGAAGUUAAUCUCCUGAUUGUCCCCACCUACUCUGCUUUGGUUUAUACUGUGUAGAGGUUGGAGUAACAGAGCUGGAUUCUCACUGGAUGAAACUAAUAUAAAGAUGAACACCAAGGGUCCAGCUUCAUGAAUGCUCAGGAUUAAAGCAGGAUUAGACUCUACUUCACACAAAUGAAAAAAACCUCUAUAGGGUGGGUGAGUUCUGAUGGUCAACAUCAGCUCCUUACCUUCAACUCUUUCAGUCUCCACAUCUGAUCCUUCUGUUUCACUACUUGCUAUUGUAGACAAAGCCUGAACAAUUUGCUGAAGGCCAAAAAGUAUGUCAAAAGCAUUGUGAAGACACAGCUCAGCCCUUCUGAGUUUCUUGUUCUCUUCAAGAUGCCUAUGGUCUAGAGCAGAACUCAAUCCUGUUCUCUUAAACAGAGCUGUGAGCACAGGAGCAGCCAUUUCCACACAGCCUCACACCUCCUGCACUCACCACAGGCAGCAGGAAACAAAGACGCUGAGAAAUCAGAAGUGAUCCUGGGAACAGCUUUGGAAUUUGCUGCAGUUGCAGACCAGGGAGGAGUGCUCAGCAUCUGACCAUACGGGCUCAGCCAAGAAAGAACAAUCAAGUGCUAUUUUCAAGGGUGACUGACUGCAAGCCCUUGGAAUGAGCAUCUCUAGGAGACCUCAUCUGACAUCUUUUAAAGAGCCAGCAAAAAUCCCAGCGGAG